CCUACGGGAGGCAGCAGUGGGGAAUAUUGGGCAAUGGAGGCAACUCUGACCCAGCAAUGCCGCGUGAGUGAUGAAGGUAAUUUUAUUGUAAAGCUCUUUUCUUUGGAACGAAUAAAUGACGGUACCAAAGGAAUAAGCCCCGGCUAACUACGUGCCAGCAGCCGCGGUCAUACGUAGGGGGCAAGCGUUGUUCGGAAUGCCUGGGCGUAACGGGUGUGUAGGUGGUUUGAUAAGUUAGAUGUGUAAUACCCAGGGCUUAACUGGGGUGCUGCAUCUAACACUGUUAGACUUGAGUACUGGAGAGGAAAGUGGAAUUCCUAGUGUAGCGGUGGAAUGCGUAGAUAUUAGGAGGAACAUCAGUGGCGAAGGCGACUAUCUGGACAGCAACUGACACUGAGGCACGAAAGCGUGGGGAGCAAACAGGAUUAGAUACCCGGGUAGUC
RNAcentral lists this ribosomal RNA (443 nucleotides) under uncultured bacterium. RNAcentral describes it as "partial 16S ribosomal RNA". It matches the Rfam family "Bacterial small subunit ribosomal RNA", at positions 338 to 795 of the family's 1533-position model. The record is from RNAcentral.